GCGCUCCAGUCCUGGCUGCGGCAUCUACCACCCCAUUGAUCACCAGAGUUGAUUCGGCUGAUCUGGCUGGCUAGGGAGGUGUCCCCUUCCUCCCUCACCGCUCCAAGUGCAUCCCUCCCGAAGCUGCAGGCUCGGAUAAAGAGGAUGGCCUUCCCCGAAUAAAAGACAAUACUAGCAUAUAUAAACAAUCGUUUUAUAUUCUAAGACAUUG
This 211-nucleotide small RNA is filed under the name Sorex araneus (European shrew). Its description in RNAcentral is "7SK RNA (ENSSARG00000018137.1)". The stretch from base 1 to 166 matches the Rfam family "7SK RNA", at positions 5 to 171 of the family's 331-position model. Rfam says of the family: 7SK was discovered as an abundant small nuclear RNA in the mid-70s but a possible function has only recently been suggested. Two independent studies have found that 7SK RNA binds the CDK9/cyclin T complex (known as elongation factor P-TEFb). The record is from RNAcentral. Lineage: Eukaryota; Metazoa; Chordata; Mammalia; Eulipotyphla; Soricidae.